UACGGAGGGUGCAAGCGUUGUUCGGAAUUACUGGGCGUAAAGGGCGCGUAGGCGGUUUGAUAAGUCAGAUGUGAAAGCCCACGGCUUAACCGUGGAAGUGCAUUUGAAACUGUCAGACUUGAGUACCAGAGGGGAAAGUGGAAUUCCCGGUGUAGAGGUGAAAUUCGUAGAUAUCGGGAGGAAUACCGGUGGCGAAGGCGACUUUCUGGCUGGAUACUGACGCUGAGGCGCGAAAGCGUGGGGAGCAAACAGGAUUAGAUACCCUGGUAGUCCACGCUGUAAACGAUGUCAACUAGAUGUAGGGGGUGUUGAUCCCUUCUGUGUCGCAGCUAACGCAUUAAGUUGACCGCCUGGGGAGUACGGUCGCAAGAUUAAA
RNAcentral lists this ribosomal RNA (376 nucleotides) under uncultured bacterium. RNAcentral describes it as "bacterial SSU rRNA". It matches the Rfam family "Bacterial small subunit ribosomal RNA", at positions 524 to 898 of the family's 1533-position model. The record is from RNAcentral.